UCCUGUGAGGCUUCUACACAAUUACCGGUAAGGAGCAUUUGCCAGUCGCAGAGGGAGGUGUUGCCCAACGCUGGCUCCCGAUGCCUGUAGGGCUGCGUGCCCCUGGAUCAGGGAGAACCCUGGGACAGGUCGCCAAGCUUCAUCUCUGGCCUCACCCUGCCUUGUAGCCCAGCCUCGGGGUCUGUGCCCCGUGGGCACCCCAUGGCCUUUGCAUCAUCUCUCACGUCACCUGUGAUGAGGAAAGGUCCCUACAAGCUGCUGAGAACAGGGGCCCCUGUCUUCCCUCUGGUCCUGCGCGCCAUCCUCUCCCUUUGUCCAGAUGCUCUUGUAAGCUCAGCAAAUGCAUGGAGGCUAAUGACACUUUCAUCUGCUGCUCUUAAUGACUUGUGUUGUCAACAUUUGACAGACUCCCCUCACUUUCAACUGGCACGCGGCAUGAAAUCCUUUGGAGCCCCAGUACUGAGGCUGCUCUGACACCGGUUUGAGAGAGGGCAGGCCUGUUACAAUGGUGAUUGGCUGCGAAGCCGCCUCUGUUCCCAGACGGAGUGGGCUGCAUGCAGGAAAUGAAUAGGGGCUGGAGGCGGAAAAUUGGACAGGCCAAUUAGACCGAGCCAGGUCUUUUCAGACGAGCGUCAUGAUUUUGAUUCAAUUCCCAGGACAACAAAUGUGCCUGUGUUUAAACACAGUCUCAGAAAUAUGUUCUCCCAAGCCAAAGUGAAACCCUGUCUGGGCUGACCCCAAUCGGCAGGGCUCGAGGGUGGUGCAGAGCGGGCGGCCUGCAUCUGGGGACACUUUUUUUGAUUACGUAUUUGAUUAGUGGCUCAUUUCCGACGGGUCUUGUUCCCUGCUGGGGAAAGCCUCUAGUUCUGAAGUCCCAUUGCUUCCUCUGUCUUCCACAGUCAUCACUGUCUCCCUGACCACGUUUAGCUCUUUGGUUUUUCCCUGCAUUCUGGGAGAUCCUACAGGUCUCUCCAAAUCACUGAUUCAAGCUUCUUAUUUUUUGCCUGAUUUUAGCGACCUCCUCUCAUCUUUUGGGUGUAUGCCCGUGAAAGCUAGCAAAUCUACAAAAGUGUAUUUCAUACAGACAUUUCAAAGAAUCAUAUUCCAGUAAAUACCUGUGAGCUCAUCAAGAAAUAAAAUGGUGCUGGAUGUGAGAAGCUCCCGUAAACCCACCCUCCCUCUCAGAGGUAACCACCAUCUGGAAUUUUGUAUUAAGCAAUCUCUUGCUUUUCUAGUUUAAAAAAACCUUGUAUGUAUGUAUGCAUUUCUAAAUAAAUACAGUUGACCCAUGAACCACAUGGGCUGGAACUGCACAGGCCCACUCCUAGCUGGAUUUUCCUCUCCCUCCAUCACCCUUGUGACAACGAAAGCAACCCCUCCUCUUCCUCCUCCUCAUCUCCCCGUCACCCCUGUGACAAUAAAACCAACUCCCCUUCCUCCUCAGCCUACCCAACACGAAGACGAUGAGGAUGAAGACCUUCACGAUGACCCACUUCCCCUUCAUGAAGAGUAAAUAUAUUCUCUCUUCCUCAUGAUUUUCUUAAUAACAUUUUCUUUUCUCUAGCUUAUUUUAUUGUAAGAAUAUAGUAUAUAAUGCAUAUAAUAUACAAAAUAUGUGUUAACUGAAUGUUUUUUAUUGGUAAGUCUUCCAGUCAACAGUAGACUAUUAGUUAAGUUUUGGAGAGUUAAUAGUUAUAUUAAGAUUUUAAGUAUGUUUUUGGGUUUUUUUUUUUUUUUUUUUUUUUUUGAGGCAGGAUCUCACGCUGUUGCCCAGGCUGAAGUACUGUGGCACCAUCUCGGCUCACUGCAGCCUCCGCCUCCCAGGUUCAAGCAAUCCUCCGACCUCAGCCUCCCAAGUAGCUGGGGCCACUAGACAUGCCCCCACUACACCAGGCUAAUUUUUAAAAACUUUUUGUAGUGACAGGUUUCGCCAUGUUACCCAGACUGGUCUCAAACUCUGGGGCUCAAGCAAUCCUCCCGCCUCAGCCUCCUGAGUAGCUGGGACUAUAGGUUCAUGCUACCAGGCCUGGAUGAUUUUUUAUUUUUUAUUUAUUAUUAUUUUUUUGAGACGGAGUCUCGCUCCGUCACCCAGGCUGGAGUGCAGUGCCGCGAUCUCGGCUCACCGCAAGCUCUGCCUCCCGGGUUCACGCCAUUCUCCUGCCUCAGCCUCCCGAGUAGCUGGGACUACAGGCGCCCGCCACCACGCCUGGCUAAUUUUUUGUAUUUUUAGUAGAGACGGGGUUUCACCGUGUUAGCCAGGAUGGUCUCGAUCUCCUGACCUCAUAAUCCGCCCGCCUUGGCUUCCUAAAGUGCUGGGAUCACAGGCGUGAGCCACCGUGCCUGGCCGAUUUUUUAUUUUUUAGAGACGAGGGAUCGCCAUGUUGCCCAGGCUGGUCUUGAACUUCUGUGGCCUCAAGCAGUCCUCUUGCCUCAGCCUCCCAGAGUGCUGGGUGUGAGCCACCGUGCCUGACCUACUUAUUCUUUUUCCUGUUCAGCAUCUAGUGUAUGAUACGAUUUGCUUAUUUGUUUAUGUUUCAUCGUCUGUUCCCCACCCUCAGCCCUGGCCCCCUUGCUGGAACGCAAGCUCCAGGCAAAGCUAUUUCACCGUUGCUGUUUUCCAAGGGCCUCGAACAGUGCCCGGCACAUAGCAAAUCCUCAGUGAACAUUAGAGGAAUAAGUGAUUCAAGAAUAGAGCUGUUAGAAGGUGUUCUGGAGGAAGACGCAUCCGGCUUCAUCCCUGGCACCAUCAAUUACUACCCAACGUCUUUGGGCAAGUGACCUCUUCUCUCUAAGCUUCAGUUUCUCCACCUGUCACAGAGGACAAUGGGCUCCCGUGGGGAUGAAGCGAGAUGAUCAUGGCCUGGCCCUUAGUGGGCACUCAGCUCACAUCUGCUAUGAACGAUGGGAGUCCUUCGGUGUGCCUGUGUGUGAACGAUGAACUCACGGACUGGAGCACUGUGCUGAAAGAGUCAGCAGCCUCUUGGAUCUCUCAGUGCCUCAGAGGCAAACUUCUCCAGUGCACAGACGUGGGCUCAGGUAGACGCCCCAGGCAAGGGGCAGGGGAAGAUGGGAUGGCUCAGUCCAUCUGCAGGGGUGCAGUG
This 3101-nucleotide long non-coding RNA is filed under the name Homo sapiens (human). RNAcentral's name for it is "non-protein coding lnc-SCGB1C2-11:1". The record is from RNAcentral. Lineage: Eukaryota; Metazoa; Chordata; Mammalia; Primates; Hominidae.